GAUGAACGCUGGCGGCGUGCCUAAUACAUGCAAGUCGAGCGAACGGACGAUAAGCUUUCUUCUCUGAUGUUAGCGGCGGACGGGUGAGUAACACGUGGAUAACCUUCCUCUAUUACUGGGAUAACUUCGGGAAACCGCAGCUAAUACCGGCUCAUAUUUUCAACCGCUUGGUUCAAAAGUUCAUGACGGUCUUGCUGUCACUUAUAGAUGGAUCCGCGCUGCAUUAGCUAGUUGGUAAGGUAACGGCUUACCAAGGCAACGAUGCAUAGCCGACCUGAGAGGGUGAUCAGCCACACUGGAACUGAGACACGGUCCAGACUCCUACGGGAGGCAGCAGUAGGGAAUAUUCGGCAAUGGGCGAAAGCCUGACGGAGCAACGCCGCGUGAGUGAUGAAGGUCUUCGGAUCGUAAAACUCUGUUAUUAGGGAAGAAAAUAUGUGUAAGUAACUGUGGACAUCUUGACGGUACCUAAAGAGAAAGCAACGGCUAACUACGUG
Molecule: ribosomal RNA, 497 nt
Filed under: uncultured bacterium
Lineage: Bacteria
Description: partial 16S ribosomal RNA
Rfam family: Bacterial small subunit ribosomal RNA
Source: RNAcentral